RNAcentral lists this ribosomal RNA (301 nucleotides) under uncultured bacterium. RNAcentral's name for it is "partial 16S ribosomal RNA". It matches the Rfam family "Bacterial small subunit ribosomal RNA", at positions 509 to 809 of the family's 1533-position model. The record is from RNAcentral.
CAGUAGCCGCGGGAAUACGUAGGUGGCAAGCGUUGUCCGGAAUUAUUGGGCGUAAAGCGCGCGCAGGCGGAUCAGUCAGUCUGUCUUAAAAGUUCGGGGCUUAACCCCGUGAUGGGAUGGAAACUGCUGAUCUAGAGUAUCGGAGAGGAAAGUGGAAUUCCUAGUGUAGCGGUGAAAUGCGUAGAUAUUAGGAAGAACACCAGUGGCGAAGGCGACUUUCUGGACGAAAACUGACGCUGAGGCGCGAAAGCCAGGGGAGCGAACGGGAUUAGAUACCCGAGUAGUCCCUGUCUCUUAACAC